CAGGAAAUAUGGCAGCUAUGAUGAAUUUAUACAAUAACAUACAACUUCGCUUAGAUCCAUAUUCAGAUCCUUUUAGAGGUGAAUUAAUGGAAGUUCUUGAACCUUUUAUCAAAAGUCCUUCUCCGAAUUCAACACCAUCACCUUCUUCUUCUUCUUCUUUCCAUUCUUUCUACAAUGAUGGUUGUUCAACAUCGAUGACCCAUGGAUUUACCAACGGGUUAUCGAAUAGCCAGAACUUCAUAGGCUUUGUUCAACAACCAUCUUCUUCUUCUCUUCUUGGUCUUAACCAUUUGACCCCAUCUCAAAUCAACCAGAUCCAAGCACAAAUCCAACACCAAAACUUUACCUUGCAACAACAUCAACAACAGCAACGUCUCAGUAACACUCUUAGCUUCCUCAGUCCGAAGCCAAUCCCUAUGAAGCACGUGGGUAAUACUCCUUCAAAACCCACGAAGCUAUACAGAGGGGUGAGGCAAAGGCACUGGGGAAAAUGGGUUGCUGAGAUCAGACUCCCUAAGAAUCGAACCAGGCUUUGGCUUGGUACCUUUGAUACAGCAGAAGAAGCUGCUUUGGCUUAUGACAAAGCUGCUUAUAAGCUUCGUGGUGACUUUGCUAGGCUUAAUUUCCCGAAUCUCAAACACCAAGGUUCAUGUAUUGGUGUCGGUGAGUUUGGUGAGUAUAAACCUCUUCCUUCCUCGGUUGAUGCUAAACUUCAAGCUAUUUGUGAAGGUUUAGCUGAGAUGCAGAAACAGGGGAAGUCAGAGAAGCCUAAAAAAACACCAGCGGCUCGGUCCAAAGCUGCGUCGAAGGUGGUACCUUCGCCGGAGACGGUGGAGAAGUCUGUUGAUGAUUUGGAGAAGGGUUCUGGUUCAGUUUCAGAAGGGUGUUGUAAGGUUGAAGCUUCGAUUUCUCCGGUGAUGACCGAGACCGAGAGUGAAGGUUCUUCACCACUUUCAGUUCUUACUUUUGGUGAUGUUGGUGAACCACAGUGGGAAGGUGAUUCGGAAAAUUUUAAUUUGCUGAAGUACCCCUCUUAUGAGAUUGAUUGGGAUUCUCUGUGAAGUUUAGUGUCCUUAUAUGUAAUUUUUUUAUAAAUUUUCUAGUGAAGAUUCUCAUGUCAUGCAUGUAACUAGAUUUUAGUUUCUUAGAAAAGUGGUUACUGCAAUGGAAUUUUUGACAAUUGCAGUGCUACUACUUUAAGUAUAUUAUUGUAAAAUCUCUUGUUACCUUGUUCACAGCUGGUUUUUUUCUUGCUUGGCCGGGAGAAGAGAAGACACUUGUUAUGUUUAUCAGUGUUCAUAUUUGUAGCUGAAUCUAUUUAUGAAAUAUAAGUAUAAAUAUUGUAGUAGUGUAGUGUUUUGUUUCUAGUUAUGUUGUUCUAUUUGUUAGAUCUACAAUCAUAUCUUCGAUGGAGUUAAAAAAAAUCAUCUGAACUCACUAUCUCAUUAUUUUGGAGAUUAUUUCCAAUACAAAUUGUCUUAAAUGGAUGUGCGCAGAGUUGGCCAACUGUGCCGAUCCCCAAUAAUUGCAUGAUACUGUUAAAUUAACUCCUCCUACCUACCUCGACAAUAUCAAAUCUAACCAGUUAAAUUUAAGAGUGAAAUUUUAAACAAUGCUAGUAUAAAUAUAAAAUUUAUACGGUCUCAUCUUGAUCUUAACAAUUUUUUAAGCAGUCAAAUAUAGCCGGCCUCUUAACAAUUAGCCUCAUAUAUUAUUGGAUUUGCCUCUGUCCGAAGGGAUCCAAAAUCGCACCAUUUUGAACACUCCAUGGACUUGCCUAUGUCGGAAGGGAAUCCAAAAUCACACCAUUUUGAAUAAAAAGUAUGGUUUGAAGAUGUAUAUUUAUAUAUUAUUUGGAUGUAUUUGAAGAUGCAUCUCUAAAAUAUCUCUUGUAUAUAUUUAUGAUGUUUUUAUUCACUGAACUAUUUUAUUUAGAGACUUAAUGAUGUUUCCAGAGAUUCAUCUUCAAAAAUAUUAAGCGGAGAUUUGGAUAAAAUCAGUUUUUCAACAACGAAGCAUCAUUCAUGUAUUUCAUCACAUCAAAGAUUCCAAAAGAAGUUGGAAUUGUAAGUAAAAUUCAUUCAUUUCAUCCCUCAUUCCUUGCAUUAAUGUGAUUUUUGAGUUGAAAAUAUGAACUUCGAGUCCAUAUAUGUAUCUCUGGACAAAGUUUGGUGUGGUACAAAUAUGGAUCUCCGUCUUUGCCUGAUACUUUGAAUCUUAAAAUAUGUUUUUUUAUGUUAUUUGUUGUAUUAGAUAUGGUGCAUUUGAAUAUAUUUUCCAAAGCUAUUGUGACCAUGAAUGUUAAACUAUAUGAAGUGAACGAUUAUGUUAGACCAAAUGAUGUUAAAUCGAUUGAUCGACCCGUUGUUGUCGAGGUAGAUAUUCGUGCAUAAUUUACAAAUAAGCAAGAGUUUAUGGAUCGUGAACAUAUGCUACAAUAGGUCGUAUGGAGGUUGGGAAAUUGGGGUUUGGCAUUGUAAUCGGAAGAUCCAACAAUGGUUCGAAUAAAAGACAAACAUUUGUAACAAUGAGAUGCGAAAAAAGUUGCAGUACCAACCACAAAUUAGGAAGUUGAAACGAGAUGACACUGAAUCAAGAAUAUGUGAGUAUCUGUUUAAAUUGCGCGAUUACCAUAUGGCAGAUGACACCAGGAAAUUUAAUGUGAUUUCCGGUAUACAUAAUCAUGUCUUGACUAACAAGCUAGCCAGUAAAUCCCAUUGUAUAUCGCCUUAUUCUAGAGGAAAGGGAUCUUGUUUCAGACAUGACAUUAGACAUAGUGGCGUCGAAAAACAUACUCGCAUCUUUGAAACAAAAAUGAACUCUAAAUAUUUUAAAUAUCAAGCAAAUAUACAACAUGCGUGCUCGAAACAACAAGGCAGUAUGAGGACCAAGAUUUGAGAUGCAACAACUAUUGAAGCAUUUGGAAGAUGACCACUAUGUUUCUAAGUAUAGAGUUUGUGAGGAUAAAGUCACCGUUCGAGGUAUAUUUUGGAGUCAUCCCGAUUCCAUCAAAUUGUUCAACACAUUUUCCACCGUGCUUAUAAUUGAUUCAACAUACAAAACAAACAAGUAUAUAUUUUCACUCCUAGAAAUUGGUGGUGUUACUUAUACGGAGAUGACAUAUUCAGCCGAUUUUGCAUUUUUGGAAUCCGAAAAGAGGACAAUGUUACAUGAAUUUGGAAAUGUGCAAGACUAUGUUAAAAGACCAAGAGAACAUGCCACAAGUAUUAGUCACCAAUCAUGACACCACACUGAUGAAUUCGAUUCCAAUUAUGUUUUCUACAUCGUAUGCAUCACUUUGUAAGUAUCACAUAAUAAAAAAAUGUGAGAAGUCGACAAAAACCUGCGUUUGACAAAAAAAAAAUCAAAGGUAACGAUGAAAAAAUGGUCAAACCCAGUGUCGUGGUGGAAAAGAUAGUGGAUGCAUGAAAUGGCAUAAUAAAUUCUUCCACGGAAGAAUUAUAUACCGAAUCUGUAAUACAUUUUAGGAAGGUGUGCGUGAGAUAUCCAGAUUUCAUGAAAUAUGUUAAGGGCACUAUUUUGGACAAGGUAAAAGAGAAGAUUGCUAGUGCAUGGACCGAUCAGGUUAUGUUAUUUUUCCAUUCUGCCAUUGGUCCUGGUUGUUUUUGGUUUGAACUAACAGAGUAUAUUCCAGAGAUGCAUCUCUGGAAAACUCAUUGAAUAUUGAACAGAGGGGUUUACGAAGAUGCAUCUCCAAACUUAAUUUUAAUAGAACAAGGGUUUCUCAACAAUUUCAUCUGAGGUGCGUGAAAAGGUGGGUUCGGAGACAGUUGUGACUUUUCACGGAGGUGGGGUUGCAAUCAUAAGGGUGGAAAGAGUAAUUAUCUCUUUUUAGGCAGGUAAAGACAUGCCAAUCCAACGUAUUUUGAAGAAGAAAUUUUAUUUAUGCUAUUUAAAAAAUAAUAUUUAAUUAAUAAUUAAAUCAGUUUUUUAAAUAAAUUCUUUUUAUGGUUUUAUAUAUAAUAAUAAUUUUUAUUAUUGUUCAGAGCUGGCUAAAAGUCUAAAUAGUUAAGGCCUAAUCCAUCUCAAAUUCACUCCACCUAACCAACGGUAUGAAACUAGUGCAUAAGAAAAACAAAGUACAUUAUCUAAUCUCCAUUUUUCAAUAUACUUAUCUCGAAUCUCGAUUUGACUUGGGCGUUGAAGUGCUAACUUUGCAGGUCCAUCCCAUGCCGGCAUAUUAUAGAUCAACACUACCGUUUCAAGACAUUUAAUUUUCCAAAUGCAUCUAUUUUUGGUUCCACAAUUGUAUCAUAUAUGGGAAUCGACUUCUGAUUUAUGCGAAAUUACAUUACCGGAUCAAUCUCGAUAUUAAGCCAACUCUCUAUCGGAAAUAAGAGAGUAGAGGCGGUAAAUUCGAUAGUCAUGUCAAGGUUCAUUAAUCCAUCUCUUGCAUCAAUCAUCAACCAGUUAUCACCGAUCAACGAAUUCCACAACAUUGCAUCAUUUAACACCCAUAUACAUCUUACCCACUUAGGUUCUUUAAAUAGGGUCCAUAACACCGCAGUUUUUGAGUUAUUAUUUUGACUGAUUUAUUUGUAUUUUAAUUUAUUUAUCACGUGCGAUAGUUGAAUUGAUUUGGAUGUGUGUGACCUUGAGGUGGGAGUGUAGAGAGUAAGUAGAAGUUAGUGAAGUUUAUUUAGGAUAAUUGGAAUUUAUUUUAAUAAUUAAAAUAAUACUAUUUUAUGGAAUUUAUUUAAUUAAAAUAAGAAUCUAGAGAGUUUGGGUGAAAUUUGUGAAUUAAGAGAAAUAUAGGGGAGGAAGGAGUAAGAGUAAUUGUUAGUAAGGGAGAGAAUUAUAGUUAUGACUAGAUUACCCUAGUUAUAUAAGGUUAAGAUAUAACCUAGGUUUAAGGAUUUUCCUAUCAGUGCAUGAAACGAGGAUUAGAGGCACAAAUGAGAUAUAAGGUUAGAGCUUUGGAGAGAAUGGAAGAACAAUCAGAGACCAGAAUUUUGCUAUUACUGCUAGGAAAACCAGGUAAGGGGGGAGAAUUGAUUCAAUAAUGGGUAUAUGCUUGAGGGGUAGAAUGAAGGAGUUCUUAACCUCCAUAAGGAUUCUUUGAGUCUUCAUAAAAUUCUGAUCUUGUGAAAAAUGAUUGAAUUGAUGUUUAUGUUGUUAGAUAUUAAAUUUGUGCAUUGUAAUAUGUAUGAAAUUAUGUUUUAAUUUGUGGAGGAAAGUUCACCAUUGUUGGGUGUUUGAAGGUUUGGGAAUAGCAUGAAUAUAUGAAAACCAUGAAAUAAAUGUAUUGAUUUGAUGAAUUUGGGUGUUGUUGAUGAUUAUAUAACAUGUAUAUGCUAUUAUGGGUCGAAUUUGUAUGAUUGAGACAGGAGUAUUGGAGUUCUGCAGUGAACUCCAUUUAGUAGAACAAAUUCUGCAACUUUCAAGGUAAUGACGGGCAUCACCACUGUGACGGGUAACCCGUCAUUCUGCCCAUGCUUGUGCUUCAAAUGGUCGUCAUUUGAGUGACAAUUUGGAUGUUUAGGGUUGGUGACAGGCGUCACUACUGUGACGGGUAACCUGCCAUGGGUCUGCAGUGAGUGCAAAUGCUCGUGUUGAUGAUAUUAAAUGUCAAAUUUUGACUUUUUGACUUUUCUGGAUGUUUUGGGUACUAUUAUACUAUGUUAGUUGUUGGUUUAAAUGAUGUUGGUAUGAUUUAACGAUUAAACACAAUUUUAAUUGAAUUUAAGAAGUAUUUGAUGAAUGUUGGAUAUGGUAUACAUGAGGAUGAUAUUGUGUUAAUUUGUAUGAAUUGUAAUGAUGAUAUGUUGUUGUAUUAGCAUGAAUUACGUUGUUGAAUUGUGAGUAUGUUGUUGUGGGAUGAUAGUUCGAGAGGGAAACUAUUAUCGUUGGGUCAAUGCAUAUUUUGUUUAUUGCUGGGAGGGGAAUUUAAACAUUAUGUUGUUCUUGAAUUGACGUGUUGUGACAUGCAUUCAUUAUGUCGCUGUUGUUGAUGAAAAAGGCAAGGUGCAAUUCUAAUAGGGUGGAUUAGUGACUUGUCUUGAAUCUGAGCAGGGUGGAUUAGGGAUUUGAGUAGGGUGAACCUGGUUCCUGAGUGAGCUAAUUAAUGAUGAUAUGGUACCAUAUGUGUGUAUUUGAAGUUGUUAGUCUCAUUGCAUAAUUGAAUCGAUGAAUAUGUGAUUGCAUUGUGUAUGAUGAUGGAUUGGAUGUGAGAAUAAUGUUGUGAGAUUGAUAUGGAUUGUGUAGAUGUUUGAAUUCUACUUUACAGCUUAUGCCGUUAAUUUAUUGAUGUGAAUUCUCACCCCCUUUGCUUUGAUGUUGUCCACCAUGGACAUCUUACAGAUACCGAGGAGUAGAGUUGCUACUAUGAGUGAGGAAUAACUCUUGGAGUUAUUUCCAUUUAGUUUCUUUGUUAUUUAGUGGAUAUGCUCUGAUCAUAUAACAUUGGGUCUGGGGCGUUUGUUUUACUUGUUAAAUUCGAAUUAAUGUCUUGAGGAGUUUUUAUGACGUUAUUUUGAAGUUGAGAACAAACAUAAUUUUGUCGAGUAUUUUAAUUUGAUUAUCCGCUGCUAUUUAAAUAAAGUUGAGAUGUUUUGAAGUUGGUAAUACUUUAAUCAGCGUAUAAUGCUUGUUAUAUAAGUUUUGCGGUUAGGGUGUUACAAUAGUGAUAUCAGAGCAGGUCAGUUCGUUUGGCCAGAUUUUUGCAUGAUAAUAGUUCCCUAGUAUGUAACAUGUGUGUGUACACUGUCGAUGCAUUGUUUCUUCCAUUGUAUAUUUAAUGGUGUGCAGAGUGGAUGGAAGAAAUGAUCGCGCAAUUGAUGAUGCUUUAGAGUAGGCACUACAUGGGCAAUAAAAUCAGGCUAGUGAUGAGUUCCGCGACUUGGGAAAGUUUUAGUGGAAUAAUCCACCGACGUUCAAGGGUAGGUAUGACCCAGAGGGUGCUCAUACAUGGCUGAAAGAGAUUGAAAAUAUUUUCCGAUUAAUGGCAUGUACUGAAGAGCAGAAGGUAUUGUUUGGUACUCACAUGUUGUCUGAAGAAGCUGAGGAUUGGUGGGAUAGCGCAUGCCAGAGACUAGAGGUUACUUGUACUGAGGUUACAUGGGUUAUAUUCAGACUGUAGUCUCUGGAGAAGUACUUCCUUGAGGAUGUGCGUAGCAAGAAGGAGAUUGAAUUCCUUGAGUUGAAGAAAGUAAUUCGACGGUUGCAUAGUAUGGUGUAAAGUUUGAGAAGCUAGUGAGUUAUGUACACAUUAUAAUAGUGAUGUUGACGAGGGUUCAAAAUGAAUCAAGUUUGAAAGUGGGAUGUGUAACACUCCGAUAAAAUAUGAUAAUUAUUUAAUUUAAGUUUAAUAGUAUAUUAUGAUGAUAAUAUGAAUGAGAGGGUAUUAUUUUUCAAAAUAAAAGAUAAACCAUUCAUAUAUAUUAUUAUUAUCCGCUUCUCUAAUCCCUUUCUGUUUAAUUAUCUGUUUUCAAUUUAUAUCUUUGGGUAUUGUCUUUUAAUUCACAAUUAAAAGUAACAACACUUGAAGAUUUUCGAAAGCAGCGUGUUUUCAGAAUCGAGAUUCCAGCUUUUAUGUUAACUGUAAAGUUCGUUUGAAAUUAGCCACAAAAAGGUGGAUUUGUUUUGAAUCCCCUUCAUGGCUAUUCUGUCAUUUCUUCUUAAUUCAAGGUUUGAAAGGAUUGGUCUAUUUAAAAUCCCUUCUAUAUCCCUUGUUUGAAUUUUUUUCCUUUAAUUAACCUGUUCUUCAAUCUUAGGAAAGAUUCGGUAUAAGUUUUCCAGCGAAAAAUAUGGCAGCUAUGAUGAAUUUAUACAAUUAACAUACAACUUCGCUUAGAUCCAUAUCAGAUCCUUUUAGAGGUGAAUUAAUGGAGUUCUUGAACCUUUUAUCAAAAGUCCUUCUCCGAAUUCAACACCAUCACCUUCUUCUUUCUUCUUCUUUCCAUUCUUUCUUUACCAAUGCAUGGUUGUUCAACAUCGAUGACCCAGGAUUACCACGGUUAUCGAAUAGCCAGAACUUCAUAGGCUUUGUUCAAAAACCAUCUUUUCUUCUCUUCUUGGUCUUACAUUUGACCCAUCUCAAAUCAACCAGAUCCAAAGCACAAAUCCAACACCAAAAACUUUACCUUGCAACAACAUCAACAACAGCAACGUCUCAGUAACACUCUUAGCUCCUCAGUCCGAAGCAAUCCCUAUGAAGCACGUGGGUAAUACUCCUUCAAAACCACGGAAGCUAUACAGAGGGUGAGGCAAAGGCACUGGGGAAAAUGGGUUGCUGGAUCAGACUCCCUAAAGAUCGAACCAGGCUUUGGCUGGUACCUUUGAUACAGCAGAAGAAGCUGCUUGGCUUAUGACAAAGCUGCUUAUAAGCUUCGUGGUGACUUGCUAGGCUUAAUUUCCGAAUCUCAAACACCAAGGUUCAUGUAUUGGUGUCGGUGAGUUUUGGUGAGUAUAAACCUCUUCCUUCCUCGGUUGAUGCUAAACUUCAAAACUAUUUGUGAAGGUUUAGCUGAGAUGCAGAAACAGGGGAAGUCAGAGAAGCCUAAAAAACACCAGCGCUCGGUCCAAAGCUGCGUCGAAGGUGUACCUUCGCCGGAGACCGUGGGAGAAGUCUGUUGAUGAUUUGGAGAAGGGUUCUGGUUCAGUUUCAGAA
Molecule: long non-coding RNA, 8629 nt
Filed under: Lathyrus oleraceus (garden pea)
Lineage: Eukaryota; Viridiplantae; Streptophyta; Magnoliopsida; Fabales; Fabaceae
Description: Pisum sativum (pea) long non-coding RNA (PSAT_LNC019372)
Source: RNAcentral